Molecule: ribosomal RNA, 2924 nt
Filed under: Escherichia coli
Lineage: Bacteria; Pseudomonadati; Pseudomonadota; Gammaproteobacteria; Enterobacterales; Enterobacteriaceae
Description: 23S Ribosomal RNA
Rfam family: Bacterial large subunit ribosomal RNA
Source: RNAcentral
GGUUAAGCGACUAAGCGUACACGGUGGAUGCCCUGGCAGUCAGAGGCGAUGAAGGACGUGCUAAUCUGCGAUAAGCGUCGGUAAGGUGAUAUGAACCGUUAUAACCGGCGAUUUCCGAAUGGGGAAACCCAGUGUGUUUCGACACACUAUCAUUAACUGAAUCCAUAGGUUAAUGAGGCGAACCGGGGGAACUGAAACAUCUAAGUACCCCGAGGAAAAGAAAUCAACCGAGAUUCCCCCAGUAGCGGCGAGCGAACGGGGAGGAGCCCAGAGCCUGAAUCAGUGUGUGUGUUAGUGGAAGCGUCUGGAAAGGCGCGCGAUACAGGGUGACAGCCCCGUACACAAAAAUGCACAUGCUGUGAGCUCGAUGAGUAGGGCGGGACACGUGGUAUCCUGUCUGAAUAUGGGGGGACCAUCCUCCAAGGCUAAAUACUCCUGACUGACCGAUAGUGAACCAGUACCGUGAGGGAAAGGCGAAAAGAACCCCGGCGAGGGGAGUGAAAAAGAACCUGAAACCGUGUACGUACAAGCAGUGGGAGCCUCUUUUAUGGGGUGACUGCGUACCUUUUGUAUAAUGGGUCAGCGACUUAUAUUCUGUAGCAAGGUUAACCGAAUAGGGGAGCCGAAGGGAAACCGAGUCUUAACUGGGCGUUAAGUUGCAGGGUAUAGACCCGAAACCCGGUGAUCUAGCCAUGGGCAGGUUGAAGGUUGGGUAACACUAACUGGAGGACCGAACCGACUAAUGUUGAAAAAUUAGCGGAUGACUUGUGGCUGGGGGUGAAAGGCCAAUCAAACCGGGAGAUAGCUGGUUCUCCCCGAAAGCUAUUUAGGUAGCGCCUCGUGAAUUCAUCUCCGGGGGUAGAGCACUGUUUCGGCAAGGGGGUCAUCCCGACUUACCAACCCGAUGCAAACUGCGAAUACCGGAGAAUGUUAUCACGGGAGACACACGGCGGGUGCUAACGUCCGUCGUGAAGAGGGAAACAACCCAGACCGCCAGCUAAGGUCCCAAAGUCAUGGUUAAGUGGGAAACGAUGUGGGAAGGCCCAGACAGCCAGGAUGUUGGCUUAGAAGCAGCCAUCAUUUAAAGAAAGCGUAAUAGCUCACUGGUCGAGUCGGCCUGCGCGGAAGAUGUAACGGGGCUAAACCAUGCACCGAAGCUGCGGCAGCGACGCUUAUGCGUUGUUGGGUAGGGGAGCGUUCUGUAAGCCUGCGAAGGUGUACUGUGAGGUAUGCUGGAGGUAUCAGAAGUGCGAAUGCUGACAUAAGUAACGAUAAAGCGGGUGAAAAGCCCGCUCGCCGGAAGACCAAGGGUUCCUGUCCAACGUUAAUCGGGGCAGGGUGAGUCGACCCCUAAGGCGAGGCCGAAAGGCGUAGUCGAUGGGAAACAGGUUAAUAUUCCUGUACUUGGUGUUACUGCGAAGGGGGGACGGAGAAGGCUAUGUUGGCCGGGCGACGGUUGUCCCGGUUUAAGCGUGUAGGCUGGUUUUCCAGGCAAAUCCGGAAAAUCAAGGCUGAGGCGUGAUGACGAGGCACUACGGUGCUGAAGCAACAAAUGCCCUGCUUCCAGGAAAAGCCUCUAAGCAUCAGGUAACAUCAAAUCGUACCCCAAACCGACACAGGUGGUCAGGUAGAGAAUACCAAGGCGCUUGAGAGAACUCGGGUGAAGGAACUAGGCAAAAUGGUGCCGUAACUUCGGGAGAAGGCACGCUGAUAUGUAGGUGAAGUCCCUCGCGGAUGGAGCUGAAAUCAGUCGAAGAUACCAGCUGGCUGCAACUGUUUAUUAAAAACACAGCACUGUGCAAACACGAAAGUGGACGUAUACGGUGUGACGCCUGCCCGGUGCCGGAAGGUUAAUUGAUGGGGUUAGCGCAAGCGAAGCUCUUGAUCGAAGCCCCGGUAAACGGCGGCCGUAACUAUAACGGUCCUAAGGUAGCGAAAUUCCUUGUCGGGUAAGUUCCGACCUGCACGAAUGGCGUAAUGAUGGCCAGGCUGUCUCCACCCGAGACUCAGUGAAAUUGAACUCGCUGUGAAGAUGCAGUGUACCCGCGGCAAGACGGAAAGACCCCGUGAACCUUUACUAUAGCUUGACACUGAACAUUGAGCCUUGAUGUGUAGGAUAGGUGGGAGGCUUUGAAGUGUGGACGCCAGUCUGCAUGGAGCCGACCUUGAAAUACCACCCUUUAAUGUUUGAUGUUCUAACGUUGACCCGUAAUCCGGGUUGCGGACAGUGUCUGGUGGGUAGUUUGACUGGGGCGGUCUCCUCCUAAAGAGUAACGGAGGAGCACGAAGGUUGGCUAAUCCUGGUCGGACAUCAGGAGGUUAGUGCAAUGGCAUAAGCCAGCUUGACUGCGAGCGUGACGGCGCGAGCAGGUGCGAAAGCAGGUCAUAGUGAUCCGGUGGUUCUGAAUGGAAGGGCCAUCGCUCAACGGAUAAAAGGUACUCCGGGGAUAACAGGCUGAUACCGCCCAAGAGUUCAUAUCGACGGCGGUGUUUGGCACCUCGAUGUCGGCUCAUCACAUCCUGGGGCUGAAGUAGGUCCCAAGGGUAUGGCUGUUCGCCAUUUAAAGUGGUACGCGAGCUGGGUUUAGAACGUCGUGAGACAGUUCGGUCCCUAUCUGCCGUGGGCGCUGGAGAACUGAGGGGGGCUGCUCCUAGUACGAGAGGACCGGAGUGGACGCAUCACUGGUGUUCGGGUUGUCAUGCCAAUGGCACUGCCCGGUAGCUAAAUGCGGAAGAGAUAAGUGCUGAAAGCAUCUAAGCACGAAACUUGCCCCGAGAUGAGUUCUCCCUGACUCCUUGAGAGUCCUGAAGGAACGUUGAAGACGACGACGUUGAUAGGCCGGGUGUGUAAGCGCAGCGAUGCGUUGAGCUAACCGGUACUAAUGAACCGUGAGGCUUAACCUUACAACGCCGAAGGUGUUUUG